GAAAGAGGCACGACAGCAAUGAGUAACUGCUAAUUAUCAUUCCCUUGGUUAAAGUCCGAGGCUCUUUUG
This 69-nucleotide transfer RNA is filed under the name Gadomus longifilis (threadfin grenadier). RNAcentral's name for it is "tRNA-Ser". The record is from RNAcentral. Lineage: Eukaryota; Metazoa; Chordata; Actinopteri; Gadiformes; Macrouridae.